Molecule: long non-coding RNA, 1287 nt
Organism: Homarus americanus (American lobster)
Lineage: Eukaryota; Metazoa; Arthropoda; Malacostraca; Decapoda; Nephropidae
Exons: 2
Source: RefSeq, a predicted model, not a curated record
GUGCCGCUACACGAUAGAGCUGUGCUCCGCUGUAGAACUAGACAGUGAAUUAAUUGACUUGAAAUGACAAGUUAAUUCAAUUCAAGUGUGGCCGGACAAUAUUCAAAUCAAGUAAAUUCAUUGUCUUGUUCUACAGCAGAGCACAGCUCUAUCGUGUAGCGGCACUCCUCACCAAACCAUUAAUUCGGUUCUAAAAAUGUUUGGCAACCUGUAGUGAUCCUGUACACAUGUUCAGUCGAGUGAAGACCGUAUCAUAGGACGUUCAAGACUUCUCAGUUCAAUUGGAUUUCCAGAAAUGUUUUAAUUUAGUAUACAUAGAACUAUGAAAAAUCGAAAAAUGUCGUGUACGGGACCACUACAGGUUGCUAAACAUUAUAGACUGAAUUAAUGGUUGGGUGAUCACCGGCUGACAAGUUCUGUUAACAUAUUGGAGGUCUCCGCCGGCGCCACCAACGCGAUAAAAUGGACGCCUCAAGUGUCUGCUGAAACUAUGAAUACAAUAGUGCUACAACAGCUGUGAUGGAAAGGGUGAUGAGAGAAUGGUCCAAACAGCAAAAGAUUGGGAUGGUGGACAUCGGAAGAGACACAAGCAACAAUUGAAUAUAACUUAAUGGAAGGUGGUUGACUGACUAUACAUAAAGUUGAGCCAGACUUCUGCACAAUGGUUCUCAAAAAAAAUCUUUAGCACAACAGGACACUUGCUUUGACUGAGAAAAUACGACUUUAAGCCAGGAAACAUUCUAAGAAUUCUCUCAACAUCAGGCAUUAGUGCUAACCAUCUUGUUUAUAUUCAAUUUCCACAAAAUAGCAGAAGUCCUUCAGGUCUUCUACUCUUAACUGAAUACAAGUAGAAAUAUGAAUAUAUCUUGACAACAACUGACAAAUACUGUAGUCGCAGGCAGUCUGCACAGCAACCAAAACCAAUCAAUUCUCUGCCUAAGCAUUAAAUUUCCUGAAAGUUUUUAACUUCUUUUCUUUGAGCUCCACCAAAAUUACAGUUUGUAUUAUCACUGCAGAAAAUAACUAAUUUCUUGCCAAGAUCAUGUUCUUUGAUAAUAUAUGUUAAGUAGGUCACCACAAUAUCCGAGGUUUCUCCAGACUGAGACUGGAAGUCAAUGAGUUUUACUUGAACACCUUCAUAGGGCUGAAAGAAGCAAAUCAGUACAGGGAAAAUUUUGUUGCUGCCAUGGUUGCUUGCAUCAGUUAAUAUUGUUUCACAAUGAGCAUCUUUCAACUGUUUAUCCAGUUCUGAUAAGGCAUAUGAAGCAAAUACAUCUGUAACAAUUG